ACGAAGGGGGCUAGCGUUGCUCGGAAUCACUGGGCGUAAAGGGUGCGUAGGCGGGUCUUUAAGUCAGGGGUGAAAUCCUGGAGCUCAACUCCAGAACUGCCUUUGAUACUGGGGAUCUUGAGUCCGGAAGAGGUAAGUGGAACUGCGAGUGUAGAGGUGAAAUUCGUAGAUAUUCGCAAGAACACCAGUGGCGAAGGCGGCUUACUGGUCCGGUACUGACGCUGAGGUGCGAAAGCGUGGGGAGCAAACAGGA
This 253-nucleotide ribosomal RNA is filed under the name uncultured prokaryote. RNAcentral's name for it is "partial 16S ribosomal RNA". It matches the Rfam family "Bacterial small subunit ribosomal RNA", at positions 525 to 777 of the family's 1533-position model. The record is from RNAcentral.